This 466-nucleotide ribosomal RNA is filed under the name uncultured bacterium. RNAcentral describes it as "partial 16S ribosomal RNA". It matches the Rfam family "Bacterial small subunit ribosomal RNA", at positions 28 to 507 of the family's 1533-position model. The record is from RNAcentral.
GAUGAACGCUGGCGGCGUGCUUAACACAUGCAAGUCGAACGAUGAAGCCCAGCUUGCUGGGUGGAUUAGUGGCGAACGGGUGAGUAACACGUGAGUAACCUGCCCUUAACUCUGGGAUAAGCCUGGGAAACUGGGUCUAAUACCGGAUAGGAGCGUCCACCGCAGGGUGGGUGUUGGAAAGAUUUAUCGGUUUUGGAUGGACUCGCGGCCUAUCAGCUUGUUGGUGAGGUAAGGGCUCACCAAGGCGACGACGGGUAGCCGGCCUGAGAGGGUGACCGGCCACACUGGGACUGAGACACGGCCCAGACUCCUACGGGAGGCAGCAGUGGGGAAUAUUGCACAAUGGGCGCAAGCCUGAUGCAGCGACGCCGCGUGAGGGAUGACGGCCUUCGGGUUGUAAACCUCUUUCAGUAGGGAAGAAGCGAAAGUGACGGUACCUGCAGAAGAAGCACCGGCUAACUACGUG